Molecule: RNase MRP RNA, 305 nt
Filed under: Cyclospora cayetanensis
Lineage: Eukaryota; Apicomplexa; Conoidasida; Eucoccidiorida; Eimeriidae
Description: RNase MRP
Rfam family: RNase MRP
About the family: RNase MRP is an enzymatically active ribonucleoprotein with two distinct roles in eukaryotes. In mitochondria it plays a direct role in the initiation of mitochondrial DNA replication. In the nucleus it is involved in precursor rRNA processing, where it cleaves the internal transcribed spacer 1 between 18S and 5.8S rRNAs.
Source: Rfam by way of RNAcentral
GGGGCAGCCGGCGAGACACGUCAUAGCGUCCGUACGGAGCGCGCAUGCGCGCUUUUCUUGCUAUGGGGAAAGUCCCCGGGCCAGUCGGCCGUAAGGGUCAGGAGGCGAUCUCCGCCGGCUCAUGAAUGCGCUGCGGGAGAGGAGCAUCUUCUCUCCCCCCUGUGACCUCUGGGAGAAGGGGCAGCAGCGCUCCUGGGUUUCUAGCCGUUGGAGAGCAUUCCGAGCUCUCCGCCUAUCAGGAGUGAGCUUAUGUGUUUGGUCUCGUCAGGGAGACUAACUGAAUGGGGCUUACGUCCGAGCUGCCC